CGGAACGGGUGAGUAAUGCGUGACCAACCUGCCCCAUGCUCCAGAAUAGCUCUUGGAAACGGGUGGUAAUGCUGGAUGCUCCAACUUGACGCAUGUCUUGUUGGGAAAGUGUUUAGUGGCAUGGGAUGGGGUCGCGUCCUAUCAGCUUGUAGGCGGGGUAAUGGCCCACCUAGGCUUCGACGGGUAGCCGGCCUGAGAGGGCGGACGGCCACAUUGGGACUGAGAUACGGCCCAGACUCCUACGGGAGGCAGCAGUA
RNAcentral lists this ribosomal RNA (257 nucleotides) under uncultured Gardnerella sp. Its description in RNAcentral is "partial 16S ribosomal RNA". It matches the Rfam family "Bacterial small subunit ribosomal RNA", at positions 98 to 355 of the family's 1533-position model. Lineage: Bacteria; Bacillati; Actinomycetota; Actinomycetes; Bifidobacteriales; Bifidobacteriaceae. The record is from RNAcentral.